UCUGUGAUGGCCGAGUGGUUGGACUUGUGGUUGGACUUGAAAUCCAAUGGGGUCUCCCCGCGCAGGUUCAAACCCUGCUCACAGCA
Non-coding RNA from Eleginops maclovinus (Patagonian blennie), 86 nucleotides. Lineage: Eukaryota; Metazoa; Chordata; Actinopteri; Perciformes; Eleginopidae. The record is from the annotation of a RefSeq genome assembly.